RNAcentral lists this long non-coding RNA (219 nucleotides) under Panax ginseng (ginseng). RNAcentral describes it as "long non-coding RNA (PGIN_LNC008090)". Lineage: Eukaryota; Viridiplantae; Streptophyta; Magnoliopsida; Apiales; Araliaceae. The record is from RNAcentral.
GUCGGGGGGAGCCAGCCGGCUCCAUCUGAUCGUCCUGGGUUCUGGAGCCCAGUCUGUCUUUCACCGACCCUCUCACCUGAGUGGUCUGGUGUGUUUUGGCCUUUUCACGGUCGGAAACUGCAUACUCCACACUCGCCAUAGUUUCUUCCCUGAAAAGUGUUCGAUUGUGAUUGUUAUUUAAGCAGCCCUCCUUCUAGCGCCAAUGUUAACGCCAAGUUU